GAUGAAGGAAGUACUUCUUGAACUUCUUUGCAUGUUGGAUAUUAGAUUGGCUAUAAAUGACAUGACACCAUUAUAUAGGUAACAGCUGACUUAUAGCCAUGCUAUACGGUAAAAAAUGCCCAUACACGUCAAAUCUCAUAUCAAUGGUGCAAUUUACUCGUAUCUGCUUACUUUUCGAACAAGGAGAAAAUAAAAGAUGGAUUAGUAGCAUUUAGCAAGGUAGUCAUCACAUCCAAACCAACCGAAUAAUUAAUCAAAAUGUGAAGUUUACAAACAAGGGGUAGAAAAAUGUGAUAGGGCCCAAAACAUGGAGGCUAGUAGCAUUUCGGUAACAAGGCACAAUUGAUCAGUUCCAACACGCGUGAGGAUGGAACCUUGGUCUCAGAAGCAGGCGUCCAAGAGACAACAGCAGCAAAGCGCGGCCAGGCUGUUGGAACAAUAUCGUAAGAGAAUCAUGAGAUAUAAUCAAGGCGAAUUUCUCAACAAACAAAGAAAAACAAGAAAAUUAGUACUAAACAUGAUAUAAUUGCAUGUUAAUAUAGAUAUGAUAUAAUUAAUUGGUUAAUGAUGAUGUUUAUAUUAGGCAUGAUAUUAAUUAUUGAAGGGUGCUAACCGUGUUUAGUGCUAAACAUGUUUAACACUGAACACCGGAGUGACUUAUACCAUUGGAUAGAUGCGGUUGAACGCGUAUGAUUUGUUGGACCUCCGUAACUCGCUUGGAAUACAAGAUAUAUAGAAUAUAGAAAUAGACAUAGAGAAAACCAUUUAUUGCCACAAAUUGCAAGUUUCCACUAAGGGCAUCUACAAUGGUAGACGCCUAACUAGGCGCUUAUAGAAGAAAAAAUAAAUGUUAUGAAAUUAAAAAACACCUAAGCGAUUUACCUCUCAACGCAAGGCGCUAACAGCCGGCGCUAAUUGAGCGGUAAUUAAACAGGGUAAUUAAACAGUGCAUGCGCCUCUUGCGGGAGAGAAAAGGACUAGGAGUCCGAUGCCUGCCUUUGCGCUGAUGCAGCGCCCGACGCCGGGAUUUGUGCGCCUAAUUGCCGAGCGACGGGAAAAUUGCCAGGAAAUUGAUCCUAACGUCUUCCUAAGGCCUUGUACAAUAGGAGAUGUUUAGAAAAAUAAACCCGAUUUUUCUUAAGCAUCGGUACUUAUUUGUACAGGAUAGACGCUUAACUAAGCGUCUCUUGUAGAAAUAGACAUCGAUGCUUUAAAAAAACUCAAUUAAUUUUUUUAAAGCCUCUCUCUAGGCACCUUCCAUUGUACAAGGCCUAAGCGCCUAGCCGUUGUAGAUGCCCUAAUUAUAGUACUCGGUAUGGGUAUGUACGGCAGACGACACGGGUGCCGGCGGGCGCCGAGCACCGUGUACAAAACACCGGAUAUUCGUCAAGUGGGGAGAGGUCGGCAUAUUCCAAGCAAUGUGUAGAGAACCAAUUAUCGUAACACCAACACAUGGUCGCAUGUGAAAUGCUGAAUUUUAUACUGCUCGAGAACACUUGACAGCAAAUGAAUUUGGACGAUUUCCAGCUUUUGCAUCUUGUCCGUCCGCCGGAGAAGAUAUCAUCAUGAAGAUCAUUGAUCGUCACGAUAUCUAUGCCGAUAUCUUCUCGUUUAUGGAAGCUACGGCUCUUGAUCUCAUCAAUGAAAUCUCGGGGUAUAUAUGAAUAUCAGAUACGAAUAGGUAGGAUUCGUACGUCCCGUUUGACCGAGGUUGGUCAUAGGCGCGCCCUUUGCCCUUAAUCUGCGGUUGACACGUCGUGGAGGUCUCGCCGUUUCCACGGUGCAGUAGCUCGCGCGUCAAGUCGCCGUCCCUACCCAUGGAAACGUGCGCGCAACGAAGCCUAGCUAGCUAACUCUGCCGGCGGCGACCCGGGCUGAUAUGAGCCCAGUUCCUAACUCUUUGAACCACUAGUUUGGAUCGAAAUUAAGAGAGAGGAAGUGGCGUACGUACCAUCCUUGCAUGAAGGAAGGCCCGCUGUUCUGCUGCUGCUGCUGCUGGGGCGGGUAGCCCUGUUGAGGCGGGUAGCCCUGCUGCUGCUGGCCGUAUCCGGCCGGCGGGUAGCCCUGCUGUGGCGGCGGGUAACCGGCCGGAGGGUACCCCUGCGGCGGGUAACCUGGAGAAUUGAAGGUCCAGGCAGCACGCAAGGUCAAUUCUGUUCAGCCGUCGGACAAAAGGUAGAAGGAGAAGUUGAUGGAAGGACGGAGGCUGUCAUACCUUGCUGCGGCGGGGCGCCGACUGGCGCCUGCUGCUGGCCGUAGUAGCUCAUCUCCUUCCGGCCGGGGGUUUCUACUUUCUGGUCGGUCUCUCGCGCUGGCGCUGUGCAGUGCAGUUCUACGGCUUGUGUUGGGCCGAGUGGUUUUAUAAAACGCGCCGGGAACGUGACUGACCUGGCUGGUGGGGCCGUCUCCACAUGUACGUAGCCUCGCCUCGG
This 2432-nucleotide long non-coding RNA is filed under the name Triticum aestivum (bread wheat). RNAcentral describes it as "long non-coding RNA (TAES_LNC012049)". The record is from RNAcentral. Lineage: Eukaryota; Viridiplantae; Streptophyta; Magnoliopsida; Poales; Poaceae.